Molecule: long non-coding RNA, 564 nt
Organism: Nyctereutes procyonoides (raccoon dog)
Lineage: Eukaryota; Metazoa; Chordata; Mammalia; Carnivora; Canidae
Exons: 2
Source: RefSeq, a predicted model, not a curated record
CUUAACCCACUGAGCCGCCCAUGUGACCCUAUUUUGAAGCUAUUUUAUUUUAUUUUUUAAAAAGAUUUUUAUUUAUUUAUUCAUGAGAGACAGAGAGAGAGGCAGAGACACAGGCAGAGGGACAGAGGGAGAAGCAGGCUCCAUGCAGGGAGCCCGACGUGGGACUCCAGGAUCAUGCCCUGGGCCGAAGAUUCAAAGAAGGAAACUGUGGUGAGUUACUGCCACCUGCUGACCAUUUUCCUGAACAUCAGGAUGGAGGACUGCCCACUACUCAAGGACAAAGAGGGCCUUGUGCACUCUGAGGUCACCACCGGCCCCCAAGGACAGCCCCAGGACGAUGGUGGGCACCCAGACGCAGACCCCUUGAUCUCCCUACUAUACCAAGGCUGGGCAGCGACCUCCUGAGGGAGAAAACGUUGGCAAUUGGAGGCAACCUAAUGAAGUGACCUUAAGAAAUAAAGGCACAGGUUUCUACCUCCACAGUGCAAAUGCACCUCAUUCAUUUCUGCAAAUAAGCCUUUGCAUCUCCUGAGUCUAGCAAUAAAAAUAGAUUCUGGAAUCCCA